UACGAGUGCCUCAAGCGUUAUCCGGAAUCAUUGGGCGUAAAGGUUGUGUAGGUGGUUAUAUUAGUCUUUUGUUAAAUUCUUCGGCUUAACCGGGGGCAUGCAAAGGAAACGGUAUGACUAGAGGAUGCGAGGGGUCUGCGGAACUCAUAGUGUAGCGGUAAAAUGCGUUGAUAUUAUGGGGAACACCAAAAGCGAAGGCAGCAGACUGGAGCACUCCUGACACUGAAACAAGAAAGCGUGGGUCGCGAAUGGG
This 253-nucleotide ribosomal RNA is filed under the name uncultured bacterium. Its description in RNAcentral is "partial 16S ribosomal RNA". It matches the Rfam family "Bacterial small subunit ribosomal RNA", at positions 524 to 776 of the family's 1533-position model. The record is from RNAcentral.